AACGAACGCUGGCGGCAGGCCUAACACAUGCAAGUCGAACGUGAAGCCACCUUCGGGUGGUGGAAAGUGGCAGACGGGUGAGUAACGCGUGGGAACGUGCCUUUCGGUUCGGGAUAACCCAGGGAAACUUGGGCUAAUACCGGAUACGCCCUUCGGGGGAAAGAUUCAUUGCCGAAAGAUCGGCCCGCGUCGGAUUAGCUAGUUGGUGGGGUAAUGGCCUACCAAGGCGACGAUCCGUAGCUGGUCUGAGAGGAUGAUCAGCCACACUGGGACUGAGACACGGCCCAGACUCCUACGGGAGGCAGCAGUGGGGAAUAGUGGACAAUGGGCGCAAGCCUGAUCCAGCCAUGCCGCGUGGGUGAAGAAGGCCCUAGGGUUGUAAACCCCUUUCAGCGGGGAAGAUAAUGACGGUACCCGCAGAAGAAGCCCCGGCUAACUCCGUGCCAGCCGCCGCAGUAA
Molecule: ribosomal RNA, 459 nt
Filed under: uncultured bacterium
Lineage: Bacteria
Description: partial 16S ribosomal RNA
Rfam family: Bacterial small subunit ribosomal RNA
Source: RNAcentral